AUGGAAUGGAUAUGGAAAAUCAUCUUCCUGCUCACAGUGUCUACAGGUGUGGACUCCCAGAAGCAGCUGGUGCAGUCUGGGGCUGAGUUGAGGAAGCCUGGGACAUCAGUGAAGAUCUCCUGCAAGGCAUCCGGAUUCAGCUUCAACUACUGGGUGAGCUGGGUACAGCAGCGCCCUGGACAAGGACUUGAGUUCAUGGGAAGGAUAGAUUUUAGAGAUGGUGAGACAAAUUACGCACCGAAGUUCCAGGGCAGAGUCACCCUCACUGCAGACAAGUCCACCAGCACAGCCUACAUGGAAAUGAGAAAUCUGACGCCUGAGGGCACAGGCACUUAUUUCUGUGCGAGAGACACAGUGUGA
Non-coding RNA from Suncus etruscus (white-toothed pygmy shrew), 360 nucleotides. The record is from the annotation of a RefSeq genome assembly. Lineage: Eukaryota; Metazoa; Chordata; Mammalia; Eulipotyphla; Soricidae.